RNAcentral lists this ribosomal RNA (501 nucleotides) under uncultured bacterium. RNAcentral describes it as "partial 16S ribosomal RNA". It matches the Rfam family "Bacterial small subunit ribosomal RNA", at positions 30 to 523 of the family's 1533-position model. The record is from RNAcentral.
AUUGAACGCUGGCGGCAGGCUUAACACAUGCAAGUCGAGCGGAGCGAGGGUGCUUGCACCUUAGCUUAGCGGCGGACGGGUGAGUAAUGCUUAGGAAUCUGCCUAUUAGUGGGGGACAACAUUCCGAAAGGAAUGCUAAUACCGCAUACGCCCUACGGGGGAAAGCAGGGGAUCUUCGGACCUUGCGCUAAUAGAUGAGCCUAAGUCGGAUUAGCUAGUUGGUGGGGUAAAGGCCUACCAAGGCGACGAUCUGUAGCGGGUCUGAGAGGAUGAGCCGCCACACUGGGACUGAGACACGGCCCAGACUCCUACGGGAGGCAGCAGUGGGGAAUAUUGGACAAUGGGCGGAAGCCUGAUCUAGCCAUGCCGCGUGUGUGAAGAAGGCCUUUUGGUUGUAAAGCACUUUAAGCGAGGAGGAGGCUACUUAGAUUAAUACUCUGGGAUAGUGGACGUUACUCGCAGAAUAAGCACCGGCUAACUCUGUGCCAGCCGCCGCAGUAA